Molecule: ribosomal RNA, 496 nt
Filed under: uncultured bacterium
Lineage: Bacteria
Description: partial 16S ribosomal RNA
Rfam family: Bacterial small subunit ribosomal RNA
Source: RNAcentral
GGUGAACGCUGGCGGCGUGCCUAAUACAUGCAAGUCGAGCGAACGGACGAGAAGCUUGCUUCUCUGAUGUUAGCGGCGGACGGGUGAGUAACACGUGGAUAACCUACCUAUAAGACUGGGAUAACUUCGGGAAACCGGAGCUAAUACCGGAUAAUAUUUUGAACCGCAUGGGUCAAAAGUGAAAGACGGUCUUGCUGUCACUUAUAGAUGGAUCCGCGCUGCAUUAGCUAGUUGGUAAGGUAACGGCUUACCAAGGCAACGAUGAAUAGCCGACCUGAGAGGGGGAUCGGCCACACUGGAACUGAGACACGGUCCAGACUCCUACGGGAGGCAGCAGUAGGGAAUCUUCCGCAAUGGGCGAAAGCCUGACGGAGCAACGCCGCGUGAGUGAUGAAGGUCUUCGGAUCGUAAAACUCUGUUAUUAGGGAAGAACAUAUGUGUAAGUAACUGUGCACAUCUUGACGGUACCUAAUCAGAAAGCCACGGCUAACUACGU